This 201-nucleotide long non-coding RNA is filed under the name Mytilus galloprovincialis (Mediterranean mussel). The record is from RNAcentral. Lineage: Eukaryota; Metazoa; Mollusca; Bivalvia; Mytilida; Mytilidae.
GUCCUGGUAUCUAUGAUGAGUUUAUUUACAACCACUUGGUCAAUACCACUGCUGGUGGAGAUUAAUUUCCCCGUGGGUAUCACCAGCCCAGUAGUCAGAACUUUUGUUCUGACAUGAAUUAUCAUUGAUAUGGUUAUAUUUAUCAAUUAACUGUUAACAAAAUUUUGAAUAUUUGAAAUACUAAGGCCUUUCUACCUCAGG